AAAUUUACUGCGCUGAAGAAUGCGUUCUACAAAAAACUAACCUGGAGCUCCGAAAUACAGCAAAAAGAUGACCCUCCUCCUCCUCCUGUAAUUGCAAGCAGUCAGAAGAUGAAAAGUCAAGAGGCCAAGAAACCUAUUAAGCGUAGAGGCCGUCCUAUUAAAAAGCGUA
This is a long non-coding RNA of Argiope bruennichi, 169 nucleotides long. RefSeq lists it as uncharacterized. Lineage: Eukaryota; Metazoa; Arthropoda; Arachnida; Araneae; Araneidae. The transcript has 3 exons. The record is from RefSeq and is a predicted model, not a curated record.